This 500-nucleotide ribosomal RNA is filed under the name uncultured bacterium. RNAcentral describes it as "partial 16S ribosomal RNA". It matches the Rfam family "Bacterial small subunit ribosomal RNA", at positions 30 to 523 of the family's 1533-position model. The record is from RNAcentral.
AUUGAACGCUGGCGGCAGGCCUAACACAUGCAAGUCGAGCGGAUGACGGGAGCUUGCUCCUUGAUUCAGCGGCGGACGGGUGAGUAAUGCCUAGGAAUCUGCCUGGUAGUGGGGGACAACGUUUCGAAAGGAACGCUAAUACCGCAUACGUCCUACGGGAGAAAGCAGGGGACCUUCGGGCCUUGCGCUAUCAGAUGAGCCUAGGUCGGAUUAGCUAGUUGGUGGGGUAAUGGCUCACCAAGGCGACGAUCCGUAACUGGUCUGAGAGGAUGAUCAGUCACACUGGAACUGAGACACGGUCCAGACUCCUACGGGAGGCAGCAGUAGGGAAUAUUGGACAAUGGGCGAAAGCCUGAUUCAGCCAUGCCGCGUGUGUGAAGAAGGUCUUCGGAUUGUAAAGCACUUUAAGUUGGGAGGAAGGGCAGUAAGUUAAUACCUUGCUGUUUUGACGUUACCGACAGAAUAAGCACCGGCUAACUCUGUGCCAGCAGCCGCCGUAA